RNAcentral lists this long non-coding RNA (239 nucleotides) under Lathyrus oleraceus (garden pea). Its description in RNAcentral is "Pisum sativum (pea) long non-coding RNA (PSAT_LNC022211)". Lineage: Eukaryota; Viridiplantae; Streptophyta; Magnoliopsida; Fabales; Fabaceae. The record is from RNAcentral.
AAAAUCUUUAUCGAGUCUCUUCUUUAUGUUGUUUUAAAAACUAAACACUUGUUUAAGGGACCGCAUUAUCUAAUACUAAAGUGAAAUAUAUUUCCCUUGUUUAAGGGGCCAAGAAAGCCAUGUUUAUUGAGUGACAUGAUUGGACAGUUAGGGAUCAUUCAAGAGUUUGUGAAGAUACAUUGUGAUAGUUAAAAUAUUGUUCACUUCUAAACACUUUGAAUUUGUAUGAUUUUUAUUUU